RNAcentral lists this ribosomal RNA (236 nucleotides) under uncultured bacterium. Its description in RNAcentral is "partial 16S ribosomal RNA". It matches the Rfam family "Bacterial small subunit ribosomal RNA", at positions 1265 to 1500 of the family's 1533-position model. The record is from RNAcentral.
AGGCAAAUCCCAGAAAUAACGUCCCAGUUCGGAUUGCAGUCUGCAACUCGACUGCAUGAAGCUGGAAUCGCUAGUAAUCGCGAAUCAGCAUGUCGCGGUGAAUACGUUCCCGGGUCUUGUACACACCGCCCGUCACACCAUGGGAGUCGGGAAUGCCCGAAGUCAGUGGCCCAACCGGAAGGGGGGAGCUGCCGAAGGCAGGCCCGGUGACUGGGGUGAAGUCGUAACAAGGUAAC